Molecule: ribosomal RNA, 119 nt
Filed under: Rosa chinensis
Lineage: Eukaryota; Viridiplantae; Streptophyta; Magnoliopsida; Rosales; Rosaceae
Source: RNAcentral
GGGUGCGAUCAUACCAGCAAUAAUGCACCGGAUCCCAUCAGAAUCCGAAGUUAAGCUUGCUUGGGCGGAGCAGUACUAGGAUGGGUGACCUCCUGGGAAGUCCUCGUGUUGCACCCCUC